RNAcentral lists this ribosomal RNA (1085 nucleotides) under uncultured Chitinivibrionia bacterium. Its description in RNAcentral is "bacterial SSU rRNA". It matches the Rfam family "Bacterial small subunit ribosomal RNA", at positions 159 to 1216 of the family's 1533-position model. The record is from RNAcentral. Lineage: Bacteria; Pseudomonadati; Fibrobacterota; Chitinivibrionia.
GGGGCUAAUACCGGAUGUGGCCACAGUUCCGCAUGGUUCUGUGAUUAAAGAUGACCUCUAUUUAUAAGUUAUCGUUUAGAGAUGGACUUGCGCACUAUUAGCUAGUUGGCGGGGUAACGGCCCACCAAGGCUUUGAUGGUUAGCCGGCCUGAGAGGGUGUACGGCCACAUUGGGACUGAGAAACGGCCCAGACUCCUACGGGAGGCAGCAGUAGGGAAUUUUGCGCAAUGGACGAAAGUCUGACGCAGCAACGCCGCGUGAGCGAUGAAGGUCUUCGGAUUGUAAAGCUCUGUUGAGUGGGAAGAACUGUUCCGGGAAUAACACCCCGGGGCGUGACGGUACCAUUCGAGGAAGCACCGGCUAACUACGUGCCAGCAGCCGCGGUAAUACGUAGGGUGCAAGCGUUGUUCGGAAUCACUGGGCGUAAAGGGAGAGUAGGCGGGAAAAUAAGUUAGAAGUUUAAUAUAUAGGCUUAACCUAUAACCUGCUUCUAAUACUGUUUUUCUUGAGUAUUGGAGAGGGAGAUGGAAUUCCAGGUGUAGCGGUGGAAUGCGUAGAUAUCUGGAAGAACACCAGCUGCGAAGGCGGUCUCCUGGCCAAAUACUGACGCUGAUGCUCGAAAGCUAGGGGAGCAAACAGGAUUAGAUACCCUGGUAGUCCUAGCCGUAAACGAUGGACACUAGAUGCUGGAGGAGUCAAUCCUUUCGGUGUCGGAGCUAACGUGUUAAGUGUCCCGCCUGGGGAGUACGCUCGCAAGGGUGAAACUCAAAGGAAUUGACGGGGGCCCGCACAAGCGGUGGAGCAUGUGCUUUAAUUCGAUGCAACGCGAAGAACCUUACCUGGGUUUGACAUGGGAGUGAAAGUUUCCAGAGAUGGGAGCCUUUCCGCAAGGAACACUCCACACAGGUGCUGCAUGGCUGUCGUCAGCUCGUGUCGUGAGAUGUUGGGUUAAGUCCCGCAACGAGCGCAACCCUCGUCCUUAGUUGCCAUCAGGUCAAGCUGGGAACUCUAAGGAUACUGCCUGGUUUAACCAGGAGGAAGGUGGGGAUGACGUCAAGUCAUCAUGGCUCUUACGUCCAGGGCCA